Molecule: long non-coding RNA, 748 nt
Filed under: Aquila chrysaetos chrysaetos
Lineage: Eukaryota; Metazoa; Chordata; Aves; Accipitriformes; Accipitridae
Description: lncRNA (ENSACCG00020003631.1)
Source: RNAcentral
CAACAUGUAUCUGGAGAGAAUAUUCUUGGAAAAUUGGAAUUAGACCACUUGUGCCAUGGCAGCAGUGAGCAGAACCUGUAGAAGCUAAGCAGGUUGGGGUCCAUGACAGCACCAGCAAUGAAAUGGUCGUUCUGUUAGGGAGAAGCUGCCUGCUGGUCUCAGCUGGAAACUGAUGCUGUUUCACUAUCAAUGUCAAGAAUAGGACAGUGUCCUAGCAGCAAGUAAUGGUCAAAUGAUAUUGGAAGAGGAAGAAAAGAGACUCAGACCUGUAAGAUUCACAGCCUCCAUUCCUAAGAGAAAGGAAAGAAAGCAGCAGAGGUUGGUGAUUUUCUCCUAAAGGCCUCAUCUGUCUGCUGCAGCUGACAUCCUAGAGUAUGCUGCUUCCAGAGAACUCAGCUUUUACAAAUUACUAUAAAGUGGAUGCUUUUCAUCUCUCACAGUGAUCGCGACCCCAUGUGCCCUUCUAUUUGUGUCAUGCAUUCACUCUCGGGAACAAUCUCAAACUGAUCAAAAGCCACUGAAGAGAACUAAAAUUAUUUGGAAACAGAAGUCCAUCGCCAUCAUCCCAGGCAAUUGUUUAAAGAAAUUGUUGAAUUCUGCAUCAGCUGAACUGCUGAAACAAGGUCCUCUAAGUAGCAGCCUACAAAUAUAAUCUCCCUUUCACUUGUCCUCCUCACAGAAAUUCUGGGUUUGUCCUUUGACAGCCCUCCAGAGAAAGGACCACAGCAGGUGACUUACUACUCUUCCC